GAGUCCAUUUAACAGUUUUGGGCCCAGGCCCACCGUGAAUGAUGCGAAACUGGACAUGGGCCGUCUUACUCUAAUUUUGGGACCUAAUUACAUUAUGCUACACAUGUUCGAGAUUUACAAUGGGACAGCAAUGGAAUCAAUAGCCAAUGAAACCUAUUUUAUGAAUCUAAAUAAACAAAUUGUUAACUAAAGAGUUUAAACUACUGAUUACUUGACUUAAAACUUGAUAUGCAUUUAAAAUUGGUUAUAAGCGAAAUAAGCUGGAGGGGGCAGGAUAUUUCUACUGCAUCAUGAGUUCUUUUCUAGCUAACAUACAUAAGAGAUUUGUUCACCAAACUACUGUCAAGGAUUCCAUUAUAUACAUACAGAAUACAACUAAGAUAAAUGUAAAACUUCAGUUCUUCAUUUAUAUUUCAUGCUUCAAGUUCAGCCUACAAGUGUACUAGCGUAGCAAUGUCUACCUGGUAUUUGGAAAAGCAAAGAAAGAGAAGGAAGAUCAGUGAUGGCAGCAGUAGCACAAUGAACAAUGCAACAGAAUUCAAGUUCAGCCUACAAGUGUACCAGUAUAGAAAUAUGUACUUGGUAUUUGGAAAAGAAAAGAAAGAGAAGGAAGAUCAGUGAUGGCACCAGUAGCACAAUGAACACAACAACAGAUUCAGCAACACCAGUAGUAGACCAAUAACAGUAGGAGGAGCAGAUUGAAAACCAAAUAGAAAGAAUCCAAGAAACCAAUGCAACAGUGUUUGAAUCCCAAUAGAAAAGGCUAGCAACACCAAAUGGAUAAAAAUAAGUCCAGAAGAUAAAUACCAGCAGAAAACCCAAGAUAUAUCACACUAAACACCCAGCAACACUCCAGAUGCGCUCACAAUUAAGUGAAAAGUAAGGCAGAUGCAAGGACAAUAUUUAUGAUUGUAAAUACUCGAAGAAAACCCACCGAAACCUUUAAGAACAACUCAUCCUAUAUCAUUCUUUAAUUUUGGAAAUUUAGUUCAACUUUAAACCUCACUCUCUAUUUAUUUCUCUGAAAAGUCUUUUAACCUUUCUGAUUUUUCAAAGGACUUCCCUUAAAACUGUUCUGGAAUACCUCUUAUAUAGCCAAACUGAACUCACCUUGCACCCUGUUGAAAACCUUUUAAAAAACUGAUUAUUCCCACUUAAUAUGUCUAGGCAUGAAACUCUUAUUUUCAAAUUUCUGGAAAUCAGAAUGUAGUGGAAGUCCUACUGUACAGUAGGUUCCAUUACCAUUCUAAUGUGCAUUUCAUCUUUUUAACAUUAAACUCAUCUAAUGGUCCAACACAUGCUUAACUCACAGCCCACUUAGACUAAACUCUAAAAAUUUCUGUUAAAAUUGCAGCUAGAUUCCAUUUCCUAAGUUUGGCUAUAACCAAUUCAAACCUAAAUUCAGCUGUAAACCGUGAAGACUUUAAUUCAAACAAUAACUCGGACCAAAUCAGGUAGUAUUAAUAAUACUAUUGUCAACAUUAAUCUAGCAAUCAAACCUAUACAGCCAAUCGACGACAUUUAUCUAUUCGAUUACAACACAUAUAAUCGAUAACAAAUAAUCGACUCAAAAACAGUGUGAUUCAUAGCAUUCGGACAAAACAGGGGAUUAUGAAACUAAUGAUUCGACGAUAUUAAUCGAGUCGAAUAUGUAGUUUACAAAGACCACAAUCAACAACAAACAGAAUAAAACUAACCAAAAAAGGUCUUUGGCAGAAGAACAAGAACACUUGGAAAAAAUUGAAAACAAAUUGAUACAAUGAAUCUAAACAAAUAACAGACAUAGGAACAUCAAAGAAAUAGAAGAAAAGGGAAAAUAAAUACCUCAAAAGUGAACAGGGAAAAGACGAUGCCGGACCAAACGGAUUUUGAACUUUUGAGGCCAAACAGACUUUAAUUGAGUGUUCUCAACUGAGAACACAUUGACUAAAGUCCAUUGAACAACCAAAAACUCUUCAAUUCAGACAAAAUCCAGGUUCGACUUUUUAGGGUUCUUUGGCUCGGAUUUGGGGUUCGAGUGGUUUGGGUUUGAUUCGAACCAAAACAACAAUGGUUUGGUGAUGAGGGACUCUAGAGAAGGCUAUGGUGUGAGUUUGGGACCGACUGGGAUUGGUUCGAGUUUUGCUCGAAUCUUCAAAUGAAGAUUCGAGAAACUCCAGGUUGAUUCGAGGUAAGAUGAUGGUGGAUUUGGAGAGAAGGGAUCAGGGUGGUUCAGGGGUGUAAGUUUGGUUGCUGGCGGCGUUGUUCCGCUGGGUUUCAAGUUAGAGGGUUUGAUGGUGGCUAGGAUAUCAAAGGGAUGGGUUUGGUUGGUCUCUGAGGUUAGAGACUGAAGGGGAAAUGGCUAGGGGGUGGG
RNAcentral lists this long non-coding RNA (2353 nucleotides) under Nicotiana benthamiana. Its description in RNAcentral is "long non-coding RNA (NBEN_LNC012993)". The record is from RNAcentral. Lineage: Eukaryota; Viridiplantae; Streptophyta; Magnoliopsida; Solanales; Solanaceae.